RNAcentral lists this ribosomal RNA (493 nucleotides) under Penicillium javanicum. RNAcentral's name for it is "eukaryotic LSU rRNA". It matches the Rfam family "Eukaryotic large subunit ribosomal RNA", at positions 921 to 1412 of the family's 3401-position model. The record is from RNAcentral. Lineage: Eukaryota; Fungi; Ascomycota; Eurotiomycetes; Eurotiales; Aspergillaceae.
GGGNGAAAGACUAAUCGAACCAUNUAGUAGCUGGUUCCUGCCGAAGUUUCCCUCAGGAUAGCAGUAACGCGAUUUCAGUUUUAUGAGGUAAAGCGAAUGAUUNGAGGCCUUGGGGUUGAAACAACCUUAACCUAUUCUCAAACUUUAAAUAUGUAANAAGCCCUUGUUGCUUAAUUGAACGUGGGCAUUAGAAUGAUGCGUUANUAGUGGGCCAUUUUUGGUAAGCAGAACUGGCGAUGCGGGAUGAACCGAACGNGAGGUUAAGGUGCCGGAAUACACGCUCAUCAGACACCACAAAAGGUGUUAGUUCAUCUAGACAGCGGAACGGUGGCCAUGGAAGUCGGAAUCCGCUAAGGAGUGUGUAACAACUCACGGGCCGAAUGAACUANCCCUNAUGGUGAGUGGCGCUCAAGCGUGUUACCCAUACCUCGCUGUCGCUUUGGUUACGAUGCCCCGACGAGUAGGCAGGCGUGGGGGUCCGUGACGAAGCCUU